UUGGACAACAGAUCUGAUGAAGCUUUAAGGUUCUCUGUCCCAGCUCAAGCAACAAGUGGUGUGUGUUUGGGUUUCUCUACAUAGGUUCCACUGGGUGCAACUGCACCAGCUCCCUACCAUAUGCUUAUGCCAACGCUUACAUAAUAGGAACACCCACUUUUCAGUUUCAUGUUUUUCUUUAGACAAUGUGGUCUUGUCAGAUGCCAGUAGUUUUUGGCUCCUGCAAUGACAGCUGUUUUUACUACUCAAGAGACAAGCUACAGGUGUGGAUGAUUCCUGCAUGGCCUUUCCCCUUGUUUUUAGUGGGCAAUAAAUCACUGUUACUUCAACACAUGAAAUUCAGCUGUUAAAUGCACCUUGCUGCAGUAUGGUAUUUUGAUGAGAAUGUAUGUCCGUUCUUAUUUCCACGUUUGUUCCCAACCUUGUAAAGAAAGCAUCCAGUAGAUGCUGCAAACCUACGAAUGAAGCAGUGAUGUACAAGACAUACAGAACAUGGACAUAUGGGAGAGAGUCCAGAAAGAUGAUGAUGGUGCAUCUCUCUGAGUAAAAGCUGAGAUAACUGAGAAUGUUCAUCAUGGAUAACAAGAGGCUCAGGGUAGAUCUCAUCUGUGUGCCUGAAUACUUGGGGAAAAAAAGGAAGGGUCAAAGACAAUGGAGCCAGGUUCUUUUCAGUGGUGCCCAGUACCAGGACAAGGGGCGACAGGCAAAAACUGGAACACAAGAGUUUGCCUCUGAAAAGCAGAUUCAUUACCUCCUGAUAAGGAAGGAAGCAAAUUACGUAAUCCAGGAACAAUGGACAUUGUCCAUUCAUUCAUCCUCCGUACAUCUGGUCUGACUGAAAACACAGAUAAAUUUGUGCUGAGAGUGGCAAAAGACACAUCACUGAUAUAAAGGCUACUUCAUUUUCCUUCAGAUUAUCCUUCAGAUUAUCUUUUGAAGGGACGCUUUACCAGUUUUGAAGUUGUUUCUACCUGUGCUGAUUUUCAUAUUUUUAUCACCACUGGGGAAAAUAAAUAAAUAAAUAGAAAGACAGAAACAACCCCUCACUAUCUGAAUUCUGAUUACAAGGAAGAAGAAUGGUUGCAAACCGGAUCAAAGGUAAUGAAAACUAAUCUGAACUUCUAAAGAAAUAUUCAACAGAAACAGCUGCCUGUCUGUGUCACUACAGAAGAGAUCUCCUAUAUAGAACAAAAUAGAGUCUAGGGACACUCUUGUAGUGAAUCUACUCACACACACACACACACACACAAACUCCAAUGUCAACAAAUUCACACAUAUUAUUUUGUGGAUUUUCAACCUCUACAAACUUUCCAUUUUCAUUUUAAAUAUGUAAACAUUUCCAGCUCCCAGCCUAUGUAGGAAAUAUUUGGGCAUAGAGUGGGCAGAUAAUGUUAUGAUUUUUUAGAUAUUUAAAUAUAUGCUUGGAACCUCUUACAACAAUCUGCUUUCUAAGAUCUUGGCAAAAACUGAAUUUAUUAAAUGGCAUAGCUGUAUCUCUUUUAUAGACUUGUACAAGUUUUCCUAUUGCAUCUCACCCAACAAUAAAACCACACUUGUAAAUCUCCUUAAAAACUUCUUAAAACCCUAUCUUGUCAGCACACUGUUUCCAUUAUCAUGCUCCUAUUCAAACCUUGACAUAGCCUGGGUCAUGAGAUCUGGUCAAACUAUAACAGCUGGAUACAAAAAUGCUCAAGGGAGAGUGGAAAAUCAAACAGUGGGAAAGAUCUGAGGAACACUGGGAAGCUGCAGGUGGUAGACCUCUCACUAGUCAAGGUUAUUUGGAAGGACCUUUCCACUGUAUCUGUCUAAAAUGCCUUUUUAUCAGUUUUGCUAAGGGUUUAAACACUUUGUUUUGGAAAAUGAAACCAAAAUGAUAAGGAAAAUAUACUGAUGUCAACUGGGAGAUUAGGAUGCAUUUGAAUGCUAGACAUUUUGUCUACCUGUUUUAAAUAACUACUUUCUAUCUCAAAAUAUACAUUUGCAUAUAUAUGAACAGAUACAUAUAUGUGUAUGCAAUAUACUAUUUAGUAUAUGUAAACCCUGAUCAUCAUGCUGAUAGCACAGUCCAUUAUUUCUAGUGAAAAAUGUUUGAAUUCUUACUCUCACUUGUAAGUAUUUGCAUCGCAAACCCCACUCCAUUUAAUUUAGCUCACCCUCGGAAAAGUACUUCAGGUAUGGGACUGCUCCUCCAGCUGGAGAACUAAAGCACAGAGUGCCAGUAUGACUGAUUUACAAGCGUAAUGUUUCAGAUGGAAUGAGAACUGAAAUAGAGUGAGCGAGGACUUCAAGCACUUUCUGUCUUUUUAUAUUAAAAUAAAGCCACAAUAAAAAGUACCUAUCUUUUAACUUAAACAUAAGUAAAAUUAGUAUCACUCAAUGAUUCUUAAGCCUUAACUUUUCUUAAGCCUUUGAUCAUAGUAAAUAAGUAAACAUGCUUGCAAAAAAUCUCUGGAAAGUAUAUACAUGCAUAUAUAUAUAUAUAUAUAUUUAUCAUUGUUUUGUUUCUUAGAGGACAGAAUUAGGAUAGAAUUUUACCUGGCUCAGUCUCCAGAUUCUCAAGCUCCUUUCAAAUUCUGAUCCUCUUCACUUUCAUUUCAAGUUCAUGUUUUAAAAAACUUAAUGUCACUGUCUCUGUCAAAUCCAUACUAAUUAUAUUAUUUGAAUUGUAUUUCACCGUACCUAAGAACAUUAGAUUAUAAAAUAAAUAAAUAUACCCAGAUUUUGCUGAAAAGGACAGCAGCAAUAACAAAAAUAGGAAUCAAAAUGAAAUUAGAGUGAUAGGGACUUAUAAAUGAGUCUUACAUCUGGGAUCCUACUUUUAAUAUUCUUUUCUGUAGUGACUGAAAGUUUUAAUCAUCUUACAUCAGAUGUUACAGACUAUGUCCAUUGUUACCUUUGUAUCAGAGGCUUAUAGUUUAAUUCUGGAGACAAGCAUGUGUUUUGUAUUACAAGCAGACAGCUAUGGACAUCCCUGUAUUCAGACAUGAGAGACUAUGAUCUAAACUCACGUAUCUGAGAUCAUCUCCAAUACUAUGUUGGUGGCUGCCUGAAAGUUCUUUAUCUAGACUUUAGUCUAUUCACUUUGCUUUUUCGCCAGAGAGGAAUUCAAGUACACAGGGUUAAAGAGAACCACAGCAUGCUCAGAGAUUGGGACCUAAAUGCCCCCAGAGAGGGACUAGCCUGAAGAUUGAAUAGUCUUUUGCUAACAGAUGGUCUUUCAUGUGAUAAAUGAAGCAUAUGGAUAAAGGAAGAUAGAGAAGUUUAAAAAAACUGCUGCCUCUGAUGAAUUAUUUCUGAGGUUCAUAGAAUAUUUCACUUUACAUUGCUCUCAAAAGAAUUUUAAAAAAUCACAAGAAGGAAGAAUUUCUAUUGCACAUUUGUUUUGCCUUUCUUGGGCUUAUUUUUCUGUCACAGUGCAAUGUAUGUGCACUUUUAAGCUGCUACAAAAAUACAUUGUUUUGUUCUCUGUAUAUUUUUAACAUUUCUGUUCCAGUAUAAGAUCUUUACACAGUGAUUAUAGGGUACUUUCUAUUGUAUUCUAAAUGAAUCAGGUGACUUAGGAAGUCCAAUGCUUUCAUCCCACAUAGAUCAGACCAUUCCCAGCCAACUGCUCAACAUUCUAAAAAUCCAAAGUAAGGUUAUCUAUUUUACAUAAAGUUAUGCAGAUAUCUUUGUUGUAACCUGUCUUGUUCACUGUGUACAUGAGAUUGCUUGAGUAAUUAGAAUGAAAAUCUGUGCAGCUCUUCUACAGCACACAGAUCAAUGAUUCCUUCUCAGCAAACCAGCAAACCCAGAUGGCACAAUGUCUUUGCCUUCACAGUGUCUGGGUGCAAUUGAAACUUGGCACUGUGUUCAGACAAAAGAGAGAUUAUUGAGUGGGAUCGGAGGAAAAGAGGAGGACAGCAAGAAAGGGAUGGAAGGAAUUGGUUUUGCUCCUAUAAACAUAACUGAAGCUCAUCCUUACAAAAAAAUGUCGUAGUUUAGAGCUGUACGGUGUAACUAAUUUUUCUUGGAUACUCCAUCAUCAUAUGGGUUCAAAAUUAUUCUUUGAUGCAGUGAGGUUUUUUGCAACAUUAAAAACAAACAAACAUACAAAAACAUGUAAGGUCCAUAAAUGCCUGAGCAUACAUUUCAAUAUGCUGAUUCACAUCUGUACAUACAUGGGUUCUUGAAAUGCAUUUGACUGCAUUUGACCACAUUUGACCGCAUUUUCCUUUGUGUGCAAAGCAGCAGUUUGUUUCAGAUGAGCACAAAUAAAGUGAUGUCCAAAUAUCAGACAAGCAAGUGCUUGGUUUGAAAGCUGCAGUAGAUGCUACUCACAUGUUCUGUCAUAAGUCAAGGGCUGAAGUGUUGAGUGGAUAGUACACCAACCAGUAGAGAACAUGAUGCUCCUCUGAAACCGUUCAGUAUGAAAUUCAUAGUGGUUAAAGCUUUAUAUGAUGUGAGCAAAUACUUUUGGUUCUGUACAGAAAAUAACCCAUGUAAACCAAUCCAUAAUCUUAUCUUAAACAAGUGGUUUUUUAGAGCAACAUACUAUCUAAGAAAAAGUGAGUUCAUUCCUCUUGUCAUUCUGAGCUGACUAAAACUGGAGAAACUUUAGUUAUCAUGUCAAGGCAAAUGGAUUUCUAAUAUUUCUUCCCAGCGGCACUUACUUAUUCAGACUCUGUUAUAACACUAUCACAUGGCUUGUAUCCUGCUACCUUGGAACUGUCAUAAGCAGACAGAUUCCUGUCUGCUCUUACCACAGUGUUUAGAAGAAUACUGAGUGUGUGACAUAGUCCGUAUCAUCCUGAUGUGUGUAGAUUUGUGGGUAGUUUUUGCAGAAAAUAUUCAGGGAAAGGGGUCUUAAACAAGAACUUUCUGAAAAGUUCAGUUGACUUUACUAAAACAAUUUCUGCUACACAAGUUAUAAACUAAUACUGAAUCUCAGCAAUUCAUAUUCAGUGUUACUAGUCAUCAGAUGGAAUCUCUGUAGUUGGUAGAAAAAAACUGACCAGUGUAGUUGCCAAGCCACUCUUAAUGAUAUUUAAAAAGUCAUGGCAGUUAGAUGAAGUCUCUGGUGACUGGAAAAAAGGGCAACAUCACACCCAUUUUAAAGAAGGGUAGAAAGAGCAACCAAGGAAACUACUGACCUGUCAGUCUCACAUCUGCGCUGAGGAAGACCAUGGAACAUAUCCUCCUGGAAGGUAUGCUAAGGCAUAUGAAGGAGAAAGAGGUGAUACAAGAAAGCCAUCAUGAUUUCACCAAGGGCAAGUCUUGCCUGACCAACCUAGUGAACCUUCUUUAAUAGUGUAACUGUGUCAAUGGACAAAGGGAGAGCCACUGAUGUAAUUUAUCUGGACUUCAGAAAGUCCUUUGACAUUGUUCCCCACACAACACCCUGCUUUCAAAUUGGAAAGAUAUGGAUUUGAUGGGUGGGCUGUAUGAUGGAUGAGGAAUUGGUCACAAGAUUGUUCCCAGAGAUUGAUGGUCAAUGACUCAGUGCCUAGAUGGAGAUCAGUGACAAGUGGUGUCCCUCAAGGUGUGAGUACUGGGACUAAUUCUCUUUAAUAUCUUCAUCAACUACAUGAACUAUCUAGACUGAACAUGAGCCAGCAGUGUGUCCAGGUGGCCAAGAAGGCCAAUGGCAUCCUGGCUUGUAUCAGAAAUAGUGUGGCCAGCAGGAAC
Long non-coding RNA from Gallus gallus (chicken), 5667 nucleotides. RefSeq lists it as uncharacterized. Lineage: Eukaryota; Metazoa; Chordata; Aves; Galliformes; Phasianidae. The record is from RefSeq and is a predicted model, not a curated record. The transcript has 6 exons.